RNAcentral lists this ribosomal RNA (455 nucleotides) under uncultured bacterium. Its description in RNAcentral is "bacterial SSU rRNA". It matches the Rfam family "Bacterial small subunit ribosomal RNA", at positions 340 to 786 of the family's 1533-position model. The record is from RNAcentral.
UACGGAAGGCAGCAGUGGGGAAUAUUGCACAAUGGGCGCAAGCCUGAUGCAGCCAUGCCGCGUGUAUGAAGAAGGCCUUCGGGUUGUAAAGUACUUUCAGUCGUGAGGAAGGUGUUAAGGUUAAUAACCUUAGCAAUUGACGUUAGCGACAGAAGAAGCACCGGCUAACUCCGUGCCAGCAGCCGCGGUAAUACGGAGGGUGCGAGCGUUAAUCGGAAUUACUGGGCGUAAAGGGCACGCAGGCGGUUAAUUAAGUUCGGAUGUGAAAUCCCCGGGCUUAACCUGGGAAUGGCAUUCAAGACUGGUUAGCUAGAGUCUUGUAGAGGGGGUUAGAAUUCCAUGUGUAGCGGUGAAAUGCGUAGAGAUGUGGAGGAAUACCGGUGGCGAAGGCGGCCCCUGGACAAAGACUGACGCUCAUGUGCGAAAGCGUGGGGAGCAAACAGGGAUUAGAUACC